Molecule: unclassified non-coding RNA, 299 nt
Organism: Callithrix jacchus (white-tufted-ear marmoset)
Lineage: Eukaryota; Metazoa; Chordata; Mammalia; Primates; Cebidae
Rfam family: Metazoan signal recognition particle RNA
About the family: The signal recognition particle (SRP) is a universally conserved ribonucleoprotein. It is involved in the co-translational targeting of proteins to membranes.
Source: Ensembl
GCUGGGUGCGGUGGCGUGUGCCUGUAGUCCCAGCUACUUGGGAGGCUGAGGCUGGAGGAUCACUUGAGUCCACGAGUUCUGGGCUGUCAUGCGCUAUGAUGAUCAGGUAUCUGCAUUAACUUCGGCAUCAAUAUGGUGACCUCCAGGGAGUGGGAGACCACCAGGUUGCCUAAGGGCCGGUGAACUGGCCCAGGUCGGAAAUGGAGAGGUCAAAACUCCCAUGCUGAUCAGUAGUGGGAUUGUGCCUGUGAACAGCCACUGCACUCCAGCCUGGGCAACAUAGUGAGACCCCGCCUCUU